RNAcentral lists this ribosomal RNA (281 nucleotides) under uncultured prokaryote. RNAcentral's name for it is "partial 16S ribosomal RNA". It matches the Rfam family "Bacterial small subunit ribosomal RNA", at positions 524 to 803 of the family's 1533-position model. The record is from RNAcentral.
UACGUAGGGGGCUAGCGUUAUCCGGAAUUACUGGGCGUAAAGGGUGCGUAGGUGGUUUCUUAAGUCAGAGGUGAAAGGCUACGGCUCAACCGUAGUAAGCCUUUGAAACUGGGAAACUUGAGUGCAGGAGAGGCAGGCGGAAUUCCUAGUGUAGCGGUGAAAUGCGUAGAUAUUAGGAGGAACACCAGUGGCGAAGGCGGCCUGCUGGACAUUAACUGACGCUGAGGCGCGAAAGCGUGGGGAGCAAACAGGAUUAGAUACCCGCGUAGUCCCUGAGCGGG